CCCUGGUUAGCUUAGUUGGCAGAGCGCUCAGUGGAGAUGAAGAGGUCCCGGUUUCGAUACCCGGACCAGGCG
RNAcentral lists this transfer RNA (72 nucleotides) under Ixodes scapularis (black-legged tick). RNAcentral's name for it is "tRNA-Ser". Lineage: Eukaryota; Metazoa; Arthropoda; Arachnida; Ixodida; Ixodidae. The record is from RNAcentral.